UUAGCUUAUAUUUGUAUGGAAUGGGAUCGUUUGCCUGCGUUUGCCGUUAGGGGCACUGUUCCAACUGCAUACAAAAUUGGGUUA
RNAcentral lists this microRNA precursor (84 nucleotides) under Bombyx mori (domestic silkworm). Its description in RNAcentral is "mir-2807 microRNA precursor family". It matches the Rfam family "mir-2807 microRNA precursor family". The record is from Rfam by way of RNAcentral. Lineage: Eukaryota; Metazoa; Arthropoda; Insecta; Lepidoptera; Bombycidae.